Molecule: ribosomal RNA, 301 nt
Filed under: uncultured bacterium
Lineage: Bacteria
Description: partial 16S ribosomal RNA
Rfam family: Bacterial small subunit ribosomal RNA
Source: RNAcentral
CAGCAGCCGCGGUAAUACAGAGGGUGCGAGCGUUAAUCGGAUUUACUGGGCGUAAAGCGUGCGUAGGCGGCUUCUUAAGUCGGAUGUGAAAUCCCUGAGCUUAACUUAGGAAUUGCAUUCGAUACUGGGAAGCUAGAGUAUGGGAGAGGAUGGUAGAAUUCCAGGUGUAGCGGUGAGAUGCGUAGAGAUCUGGAGGAAUACCGAUGGCGAAGGCAGCCAUCUGGCCUAAUACUGACGCUGAGGUACGAAAGCAUGGGGAGCAAACAGGAUUAGAUACCCCAGUAGUCCCUGUCUCUUAUAC